CCAAUAGCGUAUAUUAAAGUUGUUGCAGUUAAAAAGCUCGUAGUUGAAUUUCGGGGUCAGUAGGUCGGUCGUGCCACUGGUAUGAACUGGUUUUACUGAUUCCUCCCUCUUGAAGAACUGUAAUGCCAUUAAUUUGGUGUUGCAGGGAAUCAGGACUGUUACUUUGAAAAAAUUAGAGUGUUUAAAGCAGGCUUUAGCUUGAAUACAUUAGCAUGGAAUAAUGAAAUAGGACGUUUGAUCCUAUUUUGUUGGUUUCUAGGAUUGACGUAAUGAUUAAUAGGGAUAGUUGGGAGCAUUAGUAUUCAAUUGUCAGAGGUGAAAUUCUUGGAUUUAUUGAAGACUAACUACUGCGAAAGCAUUUGCCAAGGAUGUUUUCAUUAAUCAAGAACGAAAGUUAGGGGAUCGAAGACGAUCAGAUACCGUCGUAGUCUUAACCAUAAACUAUGCCGACUAGGGAUCGGAUGAUGUUAAUUUUUUAAUGACUCAUUCGGCGCCUUACG
RNAcentral lists this ribosomal RNA (500 nucleotides) under uncultured Glomeromycotina. RNAcentral describes it as "partial small subunit ribosomal RNA". It matches the Rfam family "Eukaryotic small subunit ribosomal RNA", at positions 591 to 1092 of the family's 1831-position model. The record is from RNAcentral. Lineage: Eukaryota; Fungi; Glomeromycota.